RNAcentral lists this signal recognition particle RNA (260 nucleotides) under Deltaproteobacteria bacterium. RNAcentral's name for it is "partial signal recognition particle sRNA large type". It matches the Rfam family "Bacterial large signal recognition particle RNA". Rfam says of the family: The signal recognition particle (SRP) is a universally conserved ribonucleoprotein involved in the co-translational targeting of proteins to membranes. Archaeal SRP consists of a 7S RNA and homologues of the eukaryotic SRP19 and SRP54 proteins. The record is from RNAcentral. Lineage: Bacteria; Pseudomonadati; Myxococcota; Myxococcia.
GCUAGACGGGGAGCUAGCGGUGCCCUGUAACCCGAAAUCCGCUCAUGCGGGGUUGAAAGUCCUUCAGGAGAACCGAGGAGCGGGACGUCUUCUGCGCCAGCAGGAGAGGAGAUGGACCACACGUGACGAACGCUUAUGAACCCCGUCAGGUCCGGGAGGAAGCAGCGGUAAGUAAGGCGGUUCGUGUCGUGAUGACCUCUAUCUCCCACCUCCGGGGCUGCAGGGGCGGCGUCGUCCCGGUUUGAAUGAAGGAUGCACGG